This 495-nucleotide ribosomal RNA is filed under the name uncultured bacterium. RNAcentral's name for it is "partial 16S ribosomal RNA". It matches the Rfam family "Bacterial small subunit ribosomal RNA", at positions 28 to 507 of the family's 1533-position model. The record is from RNAcentral.
GACGAACGCUGGCGGCGUGCCUAAUACAUGCAAGUAGAACGCUGAAGGAGGAGCUUGCUUCUCCGGAUGAGUUGCGAACGGGUGAGUAACGCGUAGGUAACCUGCCUGGUAGCGGGGGAUAACUAUUGGAAACGAUAGCUAAUACCGCAUAACAGUAGAUAUUGCAUGAUAUCUGCUUGAAAGGUGCAAUUGCAUCACUACCAGAUGGACCUGCGUUGUAUUAGCUAGUUGGUGAGGUAACGGCUCACCAAGGCGACGAUACAUAGCCGACCUGAGAGGGUGAUCGGCCACACUGGGACUGAGACACGGCCCAGACUCCUACGGGAGGCAGCAGUAGGGAAUCUUCGGCAAUGGACGGAAGUCUGACCGAGCAACGCCGCGGGAGUGAAGAAGGUUGUCGGAUCGUAAAGCUCUGUUGUAAGAGAAGAACGAGUGUGAGAGUGGAAAGUUCACACUGUGACGGUAUCUUACCAGAAAGGGACGGCUAACUACGUG